AAGUCGUAACAAGGUUUUCGUAGGUGAACCUGCGGAAGGAUCAUUACUGAGUUGCAACUCCCCCGGGAGCCAUCUCCACCCCGUGUGAACGAACUUCUGUUGCUUUGGCGGGCCGCGGCCCUGCCGCCGCCGGCUCCGACUGGCGAGCGCCCGCCAGAGACCUUUAAUUCUGCUUAAUUGUCGUCUGAGCAAAACAUAAAUGCAAAAAACUUUCAACAACGGAUCUCUUGGUUCUGGCAUCGAUGAAGAACGCAGCGAAAUGCGAUAAGUAAUGUGAAUUGCAGAAUUCCGCGAAUCAUCGAAUCUUUGAACGCACAUUGCGCCCUUUGGUAUUCCGAAGGGCAUGCCUGUUCGAGCGUCAUUUACACCCUCAAGCCCAGCUUGGUCCUGGAGGCCGCCCCCCUGGGCGCCCCCGAAAUUCAGCGGCGGCGUAGCCGACUCCCUGGCGUAGUGACUUACUGCCGCCCCGGAGCUCGGUCGUUCGUCAGCCGGACAACGCCCAAUUUUCUAAAAUCGACCUCGGAUCAGGUAGGACUACCCGCUGAACUUAAGCAUAACAAUAAGCGGAGGAAAAGAAACCAACCGGGAUUGCCCUAGUAACGGCGAGUGAAGCGGCAGCAGCUCAAAUUUGAAAUCUGGCCUACGGCCCGAAUUGUAAUUGGCAGAGGAUGCAUCGGGGGCGGCCCCGUUCCAAGUCCGCUGGAACGUGGCGUCAUAGAGGGUGAGAAUCCCGUACGUGAGCGGUGUCCGCUCCCAUGUGAUGCUCCUUCGACGAGUCGAGUUGUUUGGGAAUGCAGCUCUAAAUGGGUGGUAUAUUUCAUCUAAAGCUAAAUACUGGCCAGAGACCGAUAGCGCACAAGUAGAGUGAUCGAAAGAUGAAAAGCACUUUGGAAAGAGAGUUAAACAGUACGUGAAAUUGUUGAAAGGGAAGCGCUUGCAGCCAGACUCGCCCGGGGUGCUCAGCCGUCCUUCGGGGCGGCGUACUCGCCUUCGGGCGGGCCAGCAUCGGUUCGGGCGGCCGGAUAAAGGCCCCGGGAACGUGGCUCCCCACGGGGAGUGUUAUAGCCCGGGGUGCAAUGCGGCCAGCCUGGACCGAGGACCGCGCUUCGGCGAGGAUGCUGGCGUAAUGGCUGUCAGCGACC
RNAcentral lists this ribosomal RNA (1142 nucleotides) under uncultured fungus. Its description in RNAcentral is "eukaryotic LSU rRNA". The stretch from base 515 to 1142 matches the Rfam family "Eukaryotic large subunit ribosomal RNA", at positions 1 to 649 of the family's 3401-position model. The record is from RNAcentral. Lineage: Eukaryota; Fungi.